AUUGAACGCUGGCGGCAGGCCUAACACAUGCAAGUCGAGCGGAUGAAGGGAGCUUGCUCCUGGAUUCAGCGGCGGACGGGUGAGUAAUGCCUAGGAAUCUGCCUGGCAGUGGGGGAUAACGUCCGGAAACGGGCGCUAAUACCGCAUACGUCCUGAGGGUGAAAGUGGGGGAUCUUUGGACCUCACGCUAUCAGAUGAGCCUAGGUCGGAUUAGCUAGUUGGUGGGGUAAAGGCCUACCAAGGCGACGAUCCGUAACUGGUCUGAGAGGAUGAUGAGUCACACUGGAACUGAGACACGGUCCAGACUCCUACGGGAGGCAGCGGUGGGGAAUGUUGGACAAUGGGCGAAAGCCUGAUCCAGCCAUGCCAGGUGUGUGAAGAAGGUCUUCGGGUUGUAAAGCACUUUAAGUUGGGGGAAGGGCAGUAGGUUGAUACCUUGCUGUUUUGACGUUACCAACAGAAUAAGCACCGGCUAACUACGUG
RNAcentral lists this ribosomal RNA (483 nucleotides) under uncultured bacterium. RNAcentral describes it as "partial 16S ribosomal RNA". It matches the Rfam family "Bacterial small subunit ribosomal RNA", at positions 30 to 507 of the family's 1533-position model. The record is from RNAcentral.